GUUGCUCUAGGCUACAACCCAGAGGAGUAAGCAUUCUACAGUGAGGACCUUAUAUAUGGUCCUUAGGUGAGGCCAUAUCUCUUAACCAUUGGAUCAAAUUGGUUACGUUAAGCAAUAGGACCUUACCUAAAGCCCAUAUAUAAGGCCAUCACUACAGCAUGACUCUGCAUGCAUGCAUCUAAAUUCAGUCAGCAUAUAAAAAUGAUGUGGAAC
Molecule: long non-coding RNA, 213 nt
Filed under: Prunus persica (peach)
Lineage: Eukaryota; Viridiplantae; Streptophyta; Magnoliopsida; Rosales; Rosaceae
Description: long non-coding RNA (PPER_LNC003618)
Source: RNAcentral